This 453-nucleotide ribosomal RNA is filed under the name uncultured bacterium. RNAcentral describes it as "bacterial SSU rRNA". It matches the Rfam family "Bacterial small subunit ribosomal RNA", at positions 340 to 786 of the family's 1533-position model. The record is from RNAcentral.
UACGGAAGGCAGCAGGGGGAAUAUUGCACAAUGGGCGCAAGCCUGAUGCAGCCAUGCCGCGUGUAUGAAGAAGGCCUUCGGGUUGUAAAGUACUUUCAGUCGUGAGGAAGGUGUUAAGGUUAAUAACCUUAGCAAUUGACGUUAGCGACAGAAGAAGCACCGGCUAACUCCGUGCCAGCAGCCGCGGUAAUACGGAGGGUGCGAGCGUUAAUCGGAAUUACUGGGCGUAAAGGGCACGCAGGCGGUUAAUUAAGUUGGAUGUGAAAUCCCCGGGCUUAACCUGGGAAUGGCAUUCAAGACUGGUUAGCUAGAGUCUUGUAGAGGGGGUAGAAUUCCAUGUGUAGCGGUGAAAUGCGUAGAGAUGUGGAGGAAUACCGGUGGCGAAGGCGGCCCCCUGGACAAAGACUGACGCUCAUGUGCGAAAGCGUGGGGAGCAAACAGGGAUUAGAUACC